This 397-nucleotide ribosomal RNA is filed under the name marine sediment bacterium BB0608_AND_1.1_5S0. Its description in RNAcentral is "bacterial SSU rRNA". It matches the Rfam family "Bacterial small subunit ribosomal RNA", at positions 121 to 513 of the family's 1533-position model. The record is from RNAcentral.
GGAAUCUGCCUGAUAGUGGGGGACAACGUUUCGAAAGGAACGCUAAUACCGCAUACGUCCUACGGGAGAAAGCAGGGGACCUUCGGGCCUUGCGCUAUCAGAUGAGCCUAGGUCGGAUUAGCUAGUUGGUGAGGUAACGGCUCACCAAGGCGACGAUCCGUAACUGGUCUGAGAGGAUGAUCAGUCACACUGGAACUGAGACACGGUCCAGACUCCUACGGGAGGCAGCAGUGGGGAAUAUUGGACAAUGGGCGAAAGCCUGAUCCAGCCAUGCCGCGUGUGUGAAGAAGGUCUUCGGAUUGUAAAGCACUUUAAGUUGGGAGGAAGGGCAUUAACCUAAUACGUUAGUGUUUUGACGUUACCGACAGAAUAAGCACCGGCUAACUUCGUGCCAGCA